This 439-nucleotide ribosomal RNA is filed under the name uncultured bacterium. Its description in RNAcentral is "partial 16S ribosomal RNA". It matches the Rfam family "Bacterial small subunit ribosomal RNA", at positions 338 to 795 of the family's 1533-position model. The record is from RNAcentral.
CCUACGGGGGGCAGCAGUGGGGGAUAUUGCACAAUGGGGGGAACCCUGAUGCAGCGACGCCGCGUGGGUGAAGACGCGCCUCGGCGCGUUAAGCCCCGUCAGCAGGGAAGAAAAUGACGGUACGUGAAGAAGAAGCCCCGGAUAACUACGUGCCAGCAGCCGCGGUAAUACGUAGGGGGCAAGCGUUAUCCGGAUUUACUGGGUGUAAAGGGGGGCAGGAGGGGUUGCAAGGCAGGAGGGAAAGGCCGGGGGCCAAACCCGGGACUGCCCUUGGAACUGGGUGGCUGGAGUGCGGGAGGGGCAGGCGGAAUGCGUGGUGUAGCGGUGAAAUGCGUAGAUAUCAGGAGGAACACCGAUGGCGAAGGCGGCCUACUGGACUGCAACUGACGUUGAGGCCCGAAAGCGUGGGGAGCAAACAGGAUUAGAUACUCCUGUAGUC